GGCUGGGACAGGGAAAAAAUUUCGGCAUGUUAUUAUCAAAUCUGUUCAAUUUUUCUGAAAUCGUGCUUAAUUAACAUUAGUUGUUCGGCGCUACGAUGUUGUUCAAAUACGUACAUUACAGAAUCACAUUAUGAUUAAACCAGAAACGGCUCGACUUGAACCAGCAGGUAAGAAUCUGUUUUGAAAUUAUAUCUUGGGAGGUUGGAUUGGAUUGGCGGCCAUUUUGAUUCUUGUUUCAUGAUUUUUUAUAUUAUAAAGAUUUUGCCAAGAGUAGACAUAAACGCGGGCACAGACUAGAAAAAAUCUUUUUACACUUUUGUGUUAGUUGAAUUGUAAUCUAAUUUAUGUUUAAAAAAACAACCUUAAAUCAAAUAAGCAGAUAUUUUCCCCAAACCCUCCGUUCAACCUCUGACUCUGUCACUCUGUGGAAUAUUAUUAGGCCCCUAUUUUCCUGAUUCAGUCACAGUUAAUAAAUAAUAAAUAAUGGAACUAGAAUCAGUCUGUGGAAGUUUCUCUAUAGUUUCAUUAUUUUUUCCAGUCAGUGAUGAUAUGACUCAUUCCACCUUACAGUUACAGCAAUUACCGUAUUGAGAAUUUACCGUUCAAGGACUCCAUUUUGGCAUUGAAUUGGAAUUUGAAGAAAAACUGUUUCAAUAUUGGAUGUAUAUGCAAAUCACCCAGGAAAAGAUCAUGUAACAAAAGAAAUUAUAAAAGUAAAAAAAUGGAAGAAGAAAUGGCUGGAAAAAAUGAUGAUAGAGCAGCUUUUUCUUGUUAGCCACCUCGGAAGAUCAAGACAGCUGGAAAGGGCUAUUGAUAUUGUGGAAGUGUUUUCUUACAGAGGUUGCUUAUCAGACAAAGGCUAUUUAACUACAUCAGAAAGAUAAAAACAGUUGGAAAUGGCUAUUCAUAUUGUGGAAACUUUUCUCACAGAGCUUGAUAAUCAGGCAAAAUGCUGGAACACCCUUGAAAGAGUAUUUGAUGUAUGAUAACAACAAGAGAACCCAAGCAUCAAUUUAUUUUAUACUUCUGGGAAAGAAUGCAUUUGACCCAAUUUUUAAAUAUUUAUUUUUUGUUAUUAAUGUUAAAUUUUCUUCCAAAACACAAUUAGAUUUUAAUUCUCUUCAAAUAUGUAUGUAUAAUAUAGCAAGUAAACUGACAUAUAAAUCACUUAGAAUUUGGUCGGAAAUCAUAAAGUAUUUAAUAGGCAUUACUAGAAACCAAAUGUAGAUCAAAUACACCCAGAAUUACAAAAAACCUUGACCUACAUUAAGGUGACUUUCCCUUGCUUAUGAAAUGAAAUACGUUUUAAUAUCCUGCUUUUCUGUGUUCUUAGAGUGAUUCUACCCUACCCUUAUAUCAAAUAUUUCAACUGUCAAGGGUUCUUUAAAGGGUACCCAGGGGGGCCGAAUGGUUAACACGCACACAUUUGAUCAGAAGGUCUGUCAUUGAUUCAAAUAAUUCAAUUUUCAAGGGUUCUUCAAAGUGUACGCAGUUGGGUUGGUUUCGAUUCUGGGGGGUGGGGGUGGAUGGCCGAAUGGUUAGCACGUGCAUGCUGUAUCAUACGGCCUCCUGUCAUUGAGUCAACUGGCAUGGUUUCGAAUCCCCGGUUGUAGACAAGGAGUAGGGUCGCCUGUCCAAUCU
Molecule: long non-coding RNA, 1641 nt
Organism: Patella vulgata (common limpet)
Lineage: Eukaryota; Metazoa; Mollusca; Gastropoda; Patellidae
Exons: 5
Source: RefSeq, a predicted model, not a curated record